GACGAACGCUGGCGGCGUGCCUAAUACAUGCAAGUUGAGCGCUGAAGGUUGGUACUUGUACCAACUGGAUGAGCAGCGAACGGGUGAGUAACGCGUGGGGAAUCUGCCUUUGAGCGGGGGACAACAUUUGGAAACGAAUGCUAAUACCGCAUAAAAACUUUAAACACAAGUUUUAAGUUUGAAAGAUGCAAUUGCAUCACUCAAAGAUGAUCCCGCGUUGUAUUAGCUAGUUGGUGAGGUAAAGGCUCACCAAGGCGAUGAUACAUAGCCGACCUGAGAGGGUGGUCGGCCACAUUGGGACUGAGACACGGCCCAAACUCCUACGGGAGGCAGCAGUAGGGAAUCUUCGGCAAUGGAAGAAAGUCUGACCGAGCAACGCCGCGUGAGUGAAGAAGGGUUUCGGAUCGUAAAAAUCUGUUGGUAGAGAAGAACGUUGGUGAGAGUGGAAAGCUCAUCAAGUGACGGUAACUACCCAGAAAGGGACGGCUAACUACGUG
Molecule: ribosomal RNA, 497 nt
Filed under: uncultured bacterium
Lineage: Bacteria
Description: partial 16S ribosomal RNA
Rfam family: Bacterial small subunit ribosomal RNA
Source: RNAcentral